UUUUAAUCCAUUCUUCUAUUUCUGAAUACUUAGAUUGUUUACAGUUAUUUAAAUUUUUUUUAGUUGCCAAUGGACCUUUAUUUUAUUUAUUUAUAUGUGGUGCUGAGAAUCAGACCCAGUGCCUCCCACAUGCUAGGCAAGCCCUUUACCGCUGAGCCACAACCCCAGCCCUGUUUCCAGUUUUUGUUGGUCUGUUUUUGUGGUACUGGGGAUUGAACCAGGGUCUCACACAUGAACAAGCCAUUUCUACAUCCCCAGCCCUGCUUGUUUUUAAAACUACUCCAAACAUGCUUUUUAUACUCAUCUUAAUAGUUACCUAGAGCAUAUUUCAAGCAGUUGAAAUACCACUGCUGAGAUAGAAAUACAUCUCACAAUGUAUGACUUUCCAGGAAAAUAGUACCAACUCACCCUGUUCCUGUUGUCCAAGGAGACCAAACAUAUGGUUUAAAACUAUUUCGGCCUUAUUAUUUUAAAUGUUUGAAAAUUCAUAGAUGAAAUGCCAUUUAACUUCACUAUUUGAAAAUUUGUGUUUAUUUACUUCCCAGUGAAGCUGGACUUCUUAUAUAUCUUUUGGAUAUUUAAAGAAUCACAUGGGCCCUGGUGGCACAUGCCUGUAAUAACCUAGUCAGGAGGCUGAGACAGGAGGAUCUCAGGUUUGAGGCCAGCAUCAGCAAUUUAGUGAGACCUUCAGCAACUUAGCAAGACCCUGUCUCAAAAUUUAAAAAAGAAAAAAGUUAAAAAGAUUUGGAGUGUAGCUCAGUGGUAAAAUGACCCUGGGUUCAAUCCCUAGUUCAGAGAGAGAAAGAGAGAAAGAAAGAGGAUGGAGAGAAGAAAGGGAAAUAAAAUAAUCAUCUUUUAAAAAGGUGAUUUAAACAUUUGUUUAGUUUCUAUCCUGUACUUGGUCUGUAUAGCACGAAGGAAAUAUACUCAAAUUACUGAUAAAGCACACGACUGGAUACAGACAAAACCAGAUAUACAUAUUCAUAUAUCAUUUACGUGUACAAUCACUUAAUGCUGAGUUUCUUCUUCUCUUGGCACUUCCCCAUUCCCUCCUGUUUUCAAAUAUCGCUGCCCAAAUCUAAUUUGCAGCAUUGUCCUCACUUCUGAGCUCUAGAUAAUAAUACUUUGUAGCCUGUUUGACACCAACUCUGGGAGUCCUUAGUGGCAUUAUUUCAUCCUCAAAACUUUCAAAACCAAAGUCAUUAACUGACUUCUGCUCUUGUACCCUGUCAUGUGUUCCCUGUGUGAUAAUGGUGUCUUCACUUACUCAACUGGGUUUUUAAAAUUAUGAGACAUUAUACACGAAAAAGCAGUAUAUGUUAUAACAAUAAUAAACAUCAUGUCUGUACCCUUUGGCUUAAGAUCUAAUUUAUCAAAAUCACUAGAAGCCUCCAAUGUGCCCCUCCUUCAUCUUGAAUUGUCUUAAAAUUACUGUUGCCUUAUAUUUCUUAAGAGACCUAUACAGCAAAAAGUAUAGGUAGCAUAUUGUUUAGUUUUGCCUGUUUUCAAUUUUAUAUAAAUGCAUCCUGUAUAACAUAUUUUCUGUGAUUUAUUUCACUAGUUUUUUGAGGUUCAUCUUGAUGAUGGAAUCCUGUUUUCACUUUAACAGAAUCCAUUCAAGAAACUUAACAUUUUAUGCAUGCUUUAGUUGUUUCUGAGUUUCUGUUACUAAAACAGUGGUGCAGUUCUGCUAGGAAUAUCCUAGAACAUGCUUCCUGAUACACGUGUCUGCCAGGCAUGAGCAUAGAAGUGGACUCACUCAACUGAAGGACAAAUGCAUACUCACCUUUAUUAGAUACCACCAAAGUGGUAUCUAAAUGGUGGUACCAGUUUUCACUUCCACCAGUGGGAAAUGACCAUUCUCAUUACUUAACAUCAAUAUUUUGCUCAACUUUUAAUGCUGGCUAAUAAUGGUGGAUGUGAAA
RNAcentral lists this long non-coding RNA (1925 nucleotides) under Marmota monax (woodchuck). Lineage: Eukaryota; Metazoa; Chordata; Mammalia; Rodentia; Sciuridae. The record is from RNAcentral.